Molecule: long non-coding RNA, 1137 nt
Organism: Acanthochromis polyacanthus (spiny chromis)
Lineage: Eukaryota; Metazoa; Chordata; Actinopteri; Pomacentridae
Exons: 3
Source: RefSeq, a predicted model, not a curated record
CAUUUUUACGCGCUUCUGCAGCAACAUUACACAUGUUUAGACUGUAUUGUGUCUCAAAAAUAGUGUCAUUAAUUAAACAGCAUUUCAAAAAAGAUUAUGUCGGAUAUUGAAGGAUUUAUGGAGAAAUAACGCAUUUGCACCACGUUUCUUGGUGCGUUUGUGGACGCACCAGCUUGGAUGCGCUCUCCCCUUCAAGUUGAGACUGAAGAUCAUCUGCUCCACCUCUCCAAGGGUGGUUAUGUGCCCAAGUCUUAUUUCUGACUGUGAGCAGUUGCCUGGCAACCAUGGAAGACACAUGAAGUUAGAAUGAAAAGUCCCCCUGAAAUGAAACUCCCUUGGCGUUAGUCUGAGUUGGGUCACUUCUGCCAGCUGUUUAACUGCUGAAACAUAUGGCUCAUCAUUUGUCUGUUCCAGCUGUGUAAGUAAAACACACACAUAUAGCACCCACUAGUGGUCAGAAGUGUAAUGUGAGUUAAGUGUAAAUGCAGUAAAAGUGUAUAACAGGAGCACUAAUGGUAGCAACAUGCACCUGGAAACAUCUUCCUAAGCCUUAAACAUACUAAGAAUAAAGCUGAGUGUUUAAAUGAAACUUUUUUGCUAAUCCAGUAAUGCUGCUAACAGCCAGAGUAAAUGGUCUCAGUGUUCAUUGAGCGUGUAAUAAUGAGGAGCGUCAGGUGUUUACCCGACAGCACAUCACUGGUCUCUGUCCAAGCCAAUGAUGCACUAGAGGAGGAAGGUGAUAAGGAUCCACUUUUACCACUGCUCAUCUCUCCAAUUCCACUCCUCUCUUGUGGAAAAUUAGAUGUUUCCAUUCCCAAACUAUCAACUUUGACCUAAAUAUGUAGAAUCUUGAACUUGUAAACUGAGUUCUGACUUAGACAAGUACAGCAGACUGUCAAAAACUCUUGUACUCAAUUUAAAUGACACUAUCAGUCCCAAGACUAUUACCAGAAUCCUCCUUCAUUGCUAUAUUAAUUUAAUGGGCAUUUUAGUGUGUAUAUUUACUCAUUUUCAGAAUGACAGCUGGAUAGACAGUCAAUUAAGGCAGCAUAAUUAAGACGACAGCUGUGAAAAAUUUGGUCCUCAAAAUUCUGCCCAAAGGCAAGUAUUAUCUUGUACAUAAACAAAAAAACAAAA